RNAcentral lists this non-coding RNA (180 nucleotides) under Nitrosovibrio sp. Nv17. RNAcentral's name for it is "6S / SsrS RNA". It matches the Rfam family "6S / SsrS RNA". Rfam says of the family: E. coli 6S RNA was the first non coding RNA to be sequenced, but its function was unknown until recently. The record is from Rfam by way of RNAcentral. Lineage: Bacteria; Pseudomonadati; Pseudomonadota; Betaproteobacteria; Nitrosomonadales; Nitrosomonadaceae.
UGUUCCCUGCGGUGUUCGUCUAGACUUAUAUUCUUUGAACCAACUUUUUGAGAAUCGGUUGCAAACCAGUAUGACGCUGUUGUGCGCACCCUUCAUGGGAGCGCCUGAUGCGUCCGGGAAGUGACCACCUUGGACCCUGAGGUUCAAGAUAAUCAGUCUGACGGCAUCUGCGGGGACCUU